Molecule: ribosomal RNA, 253 nt
Filed under: uncultured bacterium
Lineage: Bacteria
Description: partial 16S ribosomal RNA
Rfam family: Bacterial small subunit ribosomal RNA
Source: RNAcentral
UACGAAGGGGGCUAGCGUUGUUCGGAAUCACUGGGCGUAAAGCGCACGUAGGCGGAUCGUUAAGUCGGAUGUGAAAUCCCCAGGCUCAACCUGGGAACUGCAUCCGAUACUGGAUGGCUUGAAUCCGGGAGAGGGAUGCAGAAUUCCAGGUGUAGCGGUGAAAUGCGUAGAUAUCUGGAGGAAUACCGGUGGCGAAGGCGGCAUCCUGGACCGGCAUUGACGCUGAGGAGCGAAAGCCAGGGGAGCAAACGGG